UUUUUUUUCUUUGUUUUCCUUUUUUUUUUGUUUUUACAAGUACACGGGUUCCAAAAAGAGGAAAAACAAAGAAGACAUAUAUGGCUCAAAAGGAUUAAAAAUUGUGACACCUAUUUGGGAUAGUGAGAAAUGAUAGCCUUCAUCAUCUCGAUCUGAUAAAAGCUUGCGUGAAAGUUCCGUAGUGGAUAUAUAUCAAGCAUAAUAUCUUUUGACUGCAUCUACAUUAAUAGUCAUGUCUGGUACCCGUCAUUCUUCAUCUACCAAAUGCAAGGCCCCCUUUGGUAACACUUUCUUGAUGAUGUAGGGUCCUUGCCAGUUCGGGGCGAACUUUCCUUUAGCUUCUACCUGGUGCGGAAGGAUGCGUUUCAAAAUGAGCUGGCCUACCUCAAAGUGCCUUGGGCACACUUUCUUGUUAUAGGCAUGUACCAUUCAUUGCGGGUAUAAUUGGCCGAAAAACACUGCCUCUAGCCAUUUUUCAUCAAUCAACAUUAGUUGCUCUAAUCGUGUCUUGACCCACUCAGUUUCUUUUAUCUCUGAUUCCACAAUGAUUCGGAGAGAGGGGAUUUUGACUUCAGCCGGUAUUAUAUCUUCAGUUACACAUACCAGCACAUAAGGAGUUGCACCAACGGAUGUGCGAGCAGUCGUGCGAUAUCCUAAAAGAGCAAAAGGCAAUUUUUCAUGCAAAUUGCCUCGACCCUUGUAUCAUCAUCCUGAGAAUCUUCGAGAUACCAAAGCGACAGAUUUGAAAGUGAUGGGCUCCACCCCCUUGGAUGUACAAUUUUAAAUUGCUCGCAUACCUCCUUCAUCGAAUGACUAUUUAGGUUGAUUGUGUUGUCAGUGAUAAUAGUCUACGAGAUACCAAAGCGACAGAUGAUGUUGGAAUGAACAAAGUCUACUACUAAUUUCUUGGUGACCGCUUUGAAAGUGACGGCCUCCACCCACUUGGUGAAGUAAUCAAAAUGAAUAUAUGCCCAUUUGAAUCCUUUGGCUCGAUUGGCCCAAUAACAUCCAUUCCCCAAGCAACAAAAGGCCAAGGAGAGGACAUGGUAUGUAAUUCCGACGGAGGUGAGUGAAUCAGGUUGCCAUGAAUCUGGCAUUGGUGACACUUGCGAACAAAGCUGAAGCGAUCUCGCUCCAUAGUAAGCCAAUAAUACCCUUCCCGCGAAAUCUUCUUUGCCAAAACAUAUCCAUUCAUAUGAGGCCCACAUACCCCUGAAUGCACUUCACUCAUGAUCCGCUCAGCUUCUAUGGCAUCUAUGCAUCUCAACAAGUUCAAAUCUGGGGUCCUUUUGUACAAAAUUUCCCCAUUCAGGAAGAAACCACUGGCGAGCCGCCUUAUAGUUCUAUUUUGAUCUCCCUUGACAUGCUCCAGGUAUUCCCUUAUUUCCAGGAAUUAUUUUCUGUCGUGAUACCAUGGUUCACCAUCUGGUUCUAUCUCAAUUGUAUUGCAGUAACCGUGUUGACUCCAAACUUGGAUUUCUAGUAGACCAAUAUGAGUGUUGCUUGGAUAAGGGAGCAUCGAGGCUAAGGUAGCCAAUGCAUCAGCUAGCUCGUUGUGAAACUUAGGAAUGUAUCUAAACUAGAUGGAUUUGAAUCUUUUUCUUAGGUCUUGCACACAUUAUCUGUAUGGAAUAAGCUUGAUGUCUCGAGUCUCCCAUUCGCCUUGGGCUUGUCGGAUAAGCAAGUCGGAAUCUCCCAUAACCAAUAGUUCAUGCAUAUCCAGAUCAAGGGCCAUUUUUAGACCCAUGAUACAAGCCUCGUAUUCUGCCAUAUUAUUGGUACAGAAUCAUCGAAGUCAUGCCGUUGCAGGAUAAUGUUGUCCAAUAGGUGAGAUGAGGACUGCCCCGAUCCUAACUCCUUUGAUUGGCUCAAUUUCUCUAACUUCUUCAUGACUUCCGAUAUUAAUUGGCUUAGCUUCAUUAAGGUUGGGCUUAAGCUUGUUUUCAAAUUGUUUCAAUUAUCUUUUUAUUUCCUCAACAGCCCCAUCUUCAUCAUAUUCAACCUCUUGAUGUAUUAUUUCAAAAUUAGACAGAUUUUUAAGUUUUGGGCAUGAAUUCCGCAUGCAUGUCAUGUUACUAAAUCUGGCAUUAACAAAACUGAAAUGGAAACAAAUUGACAGGAAUUAGAAAAAAAAAGACACAAAACUUAAUAAGAAACUGAACUGCAUUUCAUUGAAUUUGAAAGGAUAGAAGGGUUAACAUCAAAACAAAAUAAUCAUACCGAGAUGUUUGGAUUACAACCCUGAAAGUUAUCCAAAUACAAAAAAGAAUCUCCAAAAGCAAACUACCAAGACUACUUCCUUGUGGGGAGAGGAGUUGCUUCCCAGUUGAUGAGCAUGGUGUCCGGGCCAAUUAGCUACAAAUUGGCACGACCAGUGCCUUCACUAGCCUAGAUCAUAUUCACUUCAAAAAAUAUCUGGCUGAGACCAUGGCAAAUUUUAUCAAUGUUUUCCUGCACCGAGGAAUUUUGACCCUCUUGGAGUCGUGGCUUGACAAAAGUGUAGAAAAUGUGAGGGAUCGGUUUCUAUAAGACCCACUCACACCUUUUGUGGUGCUUGAUUUUGUCUUCAUCUGCUUUUCUUGGCUUGAAGCCUAAGCCAAAAGUACCCUUGUUACCAAAGGGAGAAAUGGGUUCCGAAAUUCCUUGUGGUGACACCCCCAAUCCUUUUUCUGGAUCAUAACCUUGUCUCAGCAUAAGUGCAGCUACCAUUACAUAUGUGGUAGAAAGACGAGGAUGCAAAAUGGGCUUUCCUUUCUCAACAUGGUCCACAGCAACCAAUUCGAAAACCUGAUAGACAAUGGACUCACUCCCUUCCUUGGCCUCAAUACACAAGAUUAACGUGUCUUUAUAAAUGGAUGAAUCGUCUUCUCUAUGAACAAUAAUUUCUGGCAUGUCAUGUUCGAACUGGAUCACCUGAUACAAGGUGGAUGGCACAGCUCGAGCCAUAUAGAUCCAUGGCCUUCCAAGAAGAUAGCUAUAAGAAGUUUGCAUGUCCACUACUUGGAAUACAAUUUCAAAAUCAAUUGGCCCAAUUGUCAUGGUGAGGCUGAUUUCCCCAAUAGUGUCUCUCGGUGAGCCAUCAAUAGCCCGGAUACGGACAUUGCUGGGUUGGAUUCUGUCUGUAUUGAUAUGUAUGCUUUACAAGGUAAAGAGAGGGCAUAUAUUUACGCUCGAGCCUCCAUCAACCAUGACUCGCUUUACAUAAUUCCCUCACAUUUGACAGUAAUGUGCAAAGCCUUAUUGUGCCCUACUCCCUCCUCAGGGAGUUCAUCAUCAGUAAAGGAGAUUCUUUUCACCUCAAAAAAUAUGUUGGCCAUCUUCUCUAACUGAUUCACUAUGAUCUUCUCUGAGACAUGUGCCUCGUUCAGGAUCUUGAUUAGUACACGAACAUGCUCUUCUGAAUGUAUGAGCAGAGACAGCAUAGAGAUGUAAGCGGGAGUCUUUCUCAAUUGAUCAAUGAUUGAGUAAUCCUGAACUUUCAUGUUUUUCAAAAACUCUUCCAUCUUCAAUGACUUGCUUCUUUAUUGGCAUUUGGCCUUCUCUGAUUUGCUUGGCCUUCCUCAACUCUUAUGGAGAGUAACACCUCCCCGAUCGAGCCAAACCUCCAAUUUUCCCCACUUCUUCUAUGAUUUCCUUUCCUUUGUAUGUCACUGCGGUUUUGUUGUAGGUCUAAGGAAUGGUUUUCGUGCUUGUCACACAGGGUUGCAUGGAAGGUUUGAUUAUGAUCGCCUCUAUUAUACCUUUUGUACCACCUUGAUUCAUCCUCAUGAUGGGGUGGCCUCCCAGGACAUACAACCUUGGGCUUGGAACACUAGAGCGGACUUCCAACCUCGAGAAUUUUGGAACAAAUAAAGUUGCCUUCUCUGAGCUCUGGGCGCCUUUCACAAUCAACGGCACAUCUCGGCUUGGACUUACUUCAAGUCUUGUUCCUUCUUGAAUCGUUCCCACUGUCAUUUAUGCUCCACCAAUCGGCUUGUAUUCUUGAUAUCGGCCAAUUAUUCUUACUAAAAUAAAUAUUUUUCAUAGAUUUUCAAAUUUUUUCUGAUACAAGACUCAAAAACAAAAUUUACAUAAAGACAAAUAUUUAAACAAGACCAGACUCGACUCAAACAGACCUUUUAAGAUAAAAGGUAAAUCAAUAAGACUCAAAAUACCAAAAGACUCUUACAAACUCAAAGGCAACAAAAGAACAAUCAAAGUGGACUGCCAACUAAAAGAAGACUCUGAUCUCUGCAGGAGAAUCCACCAGCAUCACUGUAGUCAAGGUACUUAUUCCUGUGGCUGACCCCCAACAUCGCGGUAUAUCCUCUCUAAGUCUGCAGAUAUGUGACGGGCGACAUUCAAUGAUACUUCUGCAAAUCUCUCAGGUGUCAUUUUCGACCAACUCUUGCAUACUCAGGAGUUAUAUGUGGCUACCUAGAGGAUCUUUCCCUUAAUGUGCUCCUGAGCCAAGUGCAACUCUUGAUUUCGCAGACCACGGGUUUCAGCUAGAUCCAGCGCAUCAUGCUCGCGCUCUAAGGCCAUAUCUCUAUGGCGCCGAAAUUCUAGUGACUCCCCCUCUAACUGAUCGAUCACCUUUUGGUAGUGAUGUCUUUCCAUUUGAAAAUCGUCAAUCUAGCGCUUCUUACUUGACUCAACUCCCCCUAUUGGAUCCCCUACACCUUGGAUUAAUGGAGCAAAACCUCUGAGCUCAUGAUCACGGACCACCUUAAACUGGGCUUCUCUUUCAUCUUGUUACUGAACGGUUGUGACUCUGUUUUUCUGCCUAAUAUGGUCCUUGAGUGCUUUCUUCUCUCGUUCCCACUGAGCUCUCUCUUUCUCAAAAGCAUCAUAUUGUAUAUCCCUAUCCACUUUAACAAUGUCGAGCUCUUCUUGUAGUGCUCCAAAGUUUGAUUCAUAAUCCCUUUUCAUCUCUUCCGUAGCCAGCCCAACUCUGUUUUGAAUCUCAGCCUCCCAAUCAAAUGCAUUCCUUAUGGAUCUUUCUGGCCUUUGCUCCGGGAUCACAUGAUUGUGAAACCAUUCAAGAUACGCGAGGCUCACCUCUCCACGUUCACGAUCAGCUACCAUCUCGUCCAAGUCAGAAAACCUACUACCGAACCAAACCUUUUGUGCAUAUGACUCCCUUAGAAGUUCUUUCCCUUUGAAUUCCCACACAAAUGGACGCAUGUCCUUAACCUAGGGCCUCUUUUGCUCUCUCCCUAGCUGGCGCAUGAUACGUAGGGAUGUAUAGGGUUGGAAACCUAUGAAACCCAUGAGUAUAAAGAACGAGCAAUGUGUCGACAUAUGCAUGACCCUAGCAGAAGGGAACCAAUAGUAGUUCCAAAUGAUUCUAUCAGCAGCCAAUGAACCAAGAAGUGUCCGCAUGCCCUUACCCACUCUGGAAGAUUACAACUCGAGGCCCUGUUUGGGUGACAUCCAAUGUAAUUCAGCCAAUUUUCACUGAAAUUUACUGGUAUUAGAUUUUCUAUGAACCAUAUCUGCAACAGAAUGUUAUAUCACUUGAAGUAAUCUUUGACCUCUUGGAAGCGGGCCAAAGCUCGUAAAAUAUCUCCCAGAAUCGUGAGAAUAAUAGUAUGAUCCUCGCUACUUUGCAGAAAUGAGACAAUCGCAACCAAUCAAAUUCUAGUGCGCCCACCACGUUUUGGAAAGACCAUAAUUCCCAUAAAUAGUAUCAUAAAAGCGAAGAUUCUCAACUCCCUCCAGGCGUCGUAACUUAAUUGGUUGAUGAAUUCUGAGCCAGAGAAGUUCUCAAACCCUUUCACAACCCCAAAUCUGUCAUACAAAUAUUCCAACGGAACCUAACCUUCGUUCUAGCAGCACAUUGGAAUUCGACGGAGGCAUAACUUCUUCAAGAAAUCAUUCACACCAACUUUUCUCGGGGCCGCAGGCUUUUUCCCAUGAUGGUUCCUCCCAAAUCCUAUAAACCCCCCUAAUUCUUACAAUGUAGGCAUCAUUUCACAAUCUUUGAACUUGAAGACAUUGUUCACAGGAUCCCAAAAACCCACUAGGGUCUCGAUUAAAUCUCUAUUAGGCUUAACUUCCAUGAUAUUUGUGAGGAACUUGAGGUGCUUAAAAACUUGAUUAUGUUUCCAUAUGGCAAAACUAGCCCACUAAUUACUGAGACUAGUCGGGGUCUUAUCUCUGAUCAAGAACAUAGGAGGUGUCUCGUCCCUCACCCUUUUCUAACUGCUUCUUUGUUGAGAAUUCAUGGUGAACCUGAGAAUAAAAAAGGGGGUCAGGACUUACCUAAACUAUAUGCAACUUCCGUUUUUUAAUGUAAAAAUAAUUUAGGACUCAACCUAUUUUUCAAUAUUUUUUUGAAAUUACUGGGCGCAAAAGGUGAAAUGAUAACAAGUAGAGGAAAAUGGCUAUCAUUACGGAAACGUCCUUUUGAUACUCCCGAGAGAGGUUCAAAAAGACCGUCUCGGCAAAAACGGCCAAACAUGUGGACAAAAUGAUAAAAAGUACAUAAAAUAAAAAAUUGCUAUUUUACAAAAAUAACCCUUCAUUACUCCCGAGAGAGGUCGAAAGGUUGUCUCGCCAAAUAUGACCCGACAAAACUAGAGAUGAUGGUUAUUUUUAUAAAAACAACCUUUCAGUGCUUCCGUAGAAGGUUUAAGGCUUUCUUUGGAAAAUUAGUCGUAUAGAAAGGCAAAAUGAUAAAAAGCGAACAAAAAUGGACAAAGUAUCCAUUCUUCCAAAAUGGCCCUUUAGUACUUCCAAGGAAGAUUUUUUAAGGUUGUCUCAGAAAAAAAAGACCAAAUAUAAAGGCAACCAGUAAAAAGCAGACAACACAGACGAAAUUUUUAUUUUUACAAAAAUAGCCUUUCAGCACUUCCGUGGAAGGAUUAAGGGUGUCUUGGCAAAAAUAGUCAAACAUAAGGGCAAAAUGGUAAAAAAUAAAAAAAAAUGGAUAAAGUUGCCAUUCUUGCAAAAAUAGCCCUUCAGCACUCCCAAAGAAGAUUUUAAGGUUGUCUCAACGAAAAUGGCCGAAUACAAAGGCAAAUAGUAAAACUCAAACAAAAUAGACGAAAUUGUUAUUUUUACAAAAACAGACUUUCAGCACUUCCGUGGAAGGUUUAAGGCUGUCUCGGCAAAAAUGGUCGAACAUAAGGACAAAACGGAAAAAGGUGACCAAAAUUAGCUAAUUUAUUAUUAUUAUUAUUAUUUUCAAAAAUUUCCGUGCACAAGCGUAAUUAAUAAGCUUCUUUUUUUUUUGGAAAAAUGUGGACCGAACCCAAUGGAGGUUGCCUAUGUAUCUCAUCGGGUAGUGAGAAUCAGACCCACGUAGUUCGAUAAAAUGGACUAUGUUUUCUCUUUUUGAAUUUUAUAAAAAUUAAUCUUUAACACCAUAUGCACUAGACCGCAUAAUUUUUUUAAACGGGCAUUUAUAUAAAAAUCGGGAGCAUGUUCUUUAUUUCUCUUUGUUCAUUCAACUAAUACACCCUAAAGCCGGUCAACAUGCAAGCUUCCCAAAUAAUGUAACAGGUAGCACAUAACAUGAACAUAAUGGUCUCAACAAGGUACCUGUCCUAAAACAGAACCCGGCCCCUGUGCCGAGCCCUACUAAGUCAAAUGCACGUGAUGCAAAUAAAGCGAGCCAACUAGGGAUAUCCGGUAUGAGGUUUGUUCAUCUAGGUUUAAAUCCUGAUAGAGAAGGUAUCUAGACUAGCUUACUCGAGCGGACAACUCGAGCCGAGGAGAGUCAGUGUACCGGUAGCAUUGCUUUCCGGCUUAGCUGGUGGUGCUCCCCGCCUAAAAUAUGUGUGACUAAAAUGCUUCACCGGGUGGCAAGCACCUCGGUUAUCUCAAAGAAAGUGGGUUAUGUCAAACAAAUACCCAAUUUUAAUUUCAAAAAAAACUCAGAGGAGUGCGUGAGAAGACAAUUUAUAUGUACAGUUCAAUAAUAUCAAAACGGUAAAAAGCGGACAAGUGGCACAUUAGGCCCAAAUAAAUCACAAUAUACAAAAUUAAUAACGCCAAAUAAAAGUCAACAUGUACAAGCUCGAAUUAUGGUAAGUCCACAGCAGAGUCGCCAGAGUUGUCACACCCCUUUUUACCCCAAAAGGAUAUAUGUAUUAUGGAUUGUGGGUUAAAGAAUUUUUCCAAUUAAUGUGACAAACUUGAGUAGGGAUUAUUUUAUUUACAGAGUCGCCGCUUGGAAUUAAUUUUUUGGGUGUUCCAAGUCACCUUUUAUUUGAAUCCCUAGUCAAAGGAAGGAUUGGCUCUAUUAUUAUUGGUCUCCGGAAAAAAAGUUCGGGUAAGGAAUUUUAUUGACCGGGGAGAAGAUGUAAGGCAUUCUUCGAGUCCCAUGGUUCUAGCUUGAUCGCUUUAUUGAUUAUAUUUGGCUUAUACUAUUUUUGGAUAAACUGUGUUUUAUUUAUUUAUUAUGUUUUACCUAUGUACGCUUUUAUUUCUUAAUUAUUAAAAAUAUUAAAGAAUAUUUUGAAUAAUAUGAUGUCAUAACCACACUACGCAAGUGAAUGCGUGAUCGAGAUAAAAUUUAUUAACUUUGUCAUAACAGCGCUACGCAAACGAAUCCACAGUCAUGACAGUUAAACCCCAAAUCCCUUUUUAAAUCCAACAAAACAAACUUUAUUUCAACCUAACCAUGAAACUGGGAAACUUUGAUACUAAUAAACAAUUCACCUCAAUAAAUGAUGUAACCGAAACAUGAUAAAAGCUCACUGAAAUCUAAAGCAAAUAAACGAAACAAAGAUUCAAAUAAAAUUCAACAAGGAUAUUUUUAUGUUUGAAGAAUAACAUCAGAGUAGGUUACAAUUUAACUAAGCAAGGCGAUACCAAAGCAAGCUAAUAAAGGCAUGAACACAGUGAACAAAAGAAAUUAGAUUCACAUCUUCAACAUGCUCACCUAAAGUAGAUUAAGAACUUUUAAGAACAAUAUGGUGAGAAAUGGACUUUCAACAACUAGCUAACAAUAAGUAGAGAAUUGUCUUCUAAAAAUGAAAGUUAUAACUACUGCAUAUUUACAUGUUUUUAUACAUGGGUACAACAUUCAUUCUUAAGCAAAGAUCAAGUACGACAUGCUUAAGCCAUCCGGACAAGUUCGAGUCUUCUUAUUACUAUCAAAAAUCUGAAAUACAAAAACGUAGGAAUUACCUGUUUCGCAAAAUAAAAAUACAGCAGUGAAAUGAGCAGAAACGACAGCAAAAACAGCAAUGAAAUAGCGGCAAAUCAUGAGUAAAAGUGUUGAAAACCCAGCAGAAAUGACCAAGAAAAUUUCAGUAGACACUUGAAACUAAUCACUAUUAAUUUCAAGAAUCACCUUAGAGAUCCUUAUUUUUAUCAAAAGGUUUACGGUCACAACCCAAUUUUCACUAUAUAUCGUGAUGGCUCCCAAAGUCGCCGCUAGGCCAGCCAACAUUGAACUACCAGUUUAGUUUCUCAUUCUAAUAUAUUUAAAGUCUUUGAUAUUUAUUUAAUGCGAAAAAAAUAGUAAAUGAGCGUGGUAAUGUAAAGCAUAAACUAAAUGGAGAAGUAAGGUAGUAAAUUAAAUAAUUAAAAACCCUGAGUGUCUACUAGAAUUCCCAAAACUCGGAGUCACAAGUGCACGAGCAUCUAGUAGAAUAUACAAAACUCCCUAAGAACUACUAUCUGAAAUAAAAUAGACGGGAAUGAUAAAAAACAUAACAAGAGAAGGCUCUGGAUGCUGCAGAAUAAAGCAUGAGAAAGCAACUCACCAUUAAGCCUCCGGGUAAUGCGGAUACGCGCCCGGAUGAACUCCAGAUGAGCCUGCCUCAGAACCUGCACAAUAUGUGCAAAAAUGUAGCGUGAGUACAUAAAUAACAUGUACCCAGUAAGUAUCUAAUCUAACCUCGAAGAAGUAGUGACGAGGGGUCGACUUCGACACUUACUAGUGGGAAACAUACAUAAUGUAUAAGAUUAUUUAAUAGGCAUGAAAAACAACAUCAAUAAUGGAAUAAGAGGCAAUAAUUAAAUGACCUUUUAUCAAAAUAACAAUUAAAAGUCCCCAAAUAUUACUUAACAAUCUCAACAAGUAAGGGCUCGACAUAUAAUUAAAAAUCCUCAAGUCAUGAAAGACAUAUCAAGUGUAAUCGAACUUCGAGUGACAACACGCACGAGUUAUGCCGAGGUCGUACGGACCGAUCCAUAAUAAUCGUGUGCAUACACUACCGAGGUCGUACAGACCGAUCCAUGGAUGCUAUAUAUAUAUANNNNNNNNNNNNNNNNNNNNNNNNNNNNNNNNNNNNNNNNNNNNNNNNNNNNNNNNNNNNNNNNNNNNNNNNNNNNNNNNNNNNNNNNNNNNNNNNNNNNNNNNNNNNNNNNNNNNNNNNNNNNNNNNNNNNNNNNNNNNNNNNNNNNNNNNNNNNNNNNNNNNNNNNNNNNNNNNNNNNNNNNNNNNNNNNNNNNNNNNNNNNNNNNNNNNNNNNNNNNNNNNNNNNNNNNNNNNNNNNNNNNNNNNNNNNNNNNNNNNNNNNNNNNNNNNNNNNNNNNNNNNNNNNNNNNNNNNNNNNNNNNNNNNNNNNNNNNNNNNNNNNNNNNNNNNNNNNNNNNNNNNNNNNNNNNNNNNNNNNNNNNNNNNNNNNNNNNNNNNNNNNNNNNNNNNNNNNNNNNNNNNNNNNNNNNNNNNNNNNNNNNNNNNNNNNNNNNNNNNNNNNNNNNNNNNNNNNNNNNNNNNNNNNNNNNNNNNNNNNNNNNNNNNNNNNNNNNNNNNNNNNNNNNNNNNNNNNNNNNGUGUGUGUGUGUGUGUGUGUGUGUGUGUAUAAAUAUUGUCGAGGCAUUCGGUCCGAUUCAUAAGAAUAAGAAACCUUUUCGGAUUUCGAAUUUCAUAUUUACAACUCCGAGGUAAGCCCAUGAAAUGUUAUAAUCGCCAUCAAUAAUUAAAUAUUUCGCCAACUUUCUAAGUAAUGAGGCUCAAUUUAACUUAAUCUUCAACCAUGUUUUCACUUAUUAAUACGAGAAAUUAAACUAGCAAGUUGAUUCCAGAUAGUACAAGUAAUAGCAUAAUAAAGUCCUAUGUCUACCCGGACAUAACAUAAAUUUUAGCUACGCACGAACUUUCGUCACUUCGUGUGUACGUAGCACCCACAAUUAGUAGCAAAUAAUAAUUUAAAUACCUAUAGGGUUAAUUCUCUCUUACAAGGUUAGACAAGAGACUUACUUUGUUCCCAUAUCCACGUUUUGAUCCACAAAUGGCUCUAAAAGCCUCAAGUCGGUGCCGAACAAUCCGAAACCAGCCAAAAGUUGUACAAACUAAUCAAUAAUUUCUCAAAAGUUCGUAAUUUAACUAUUAGAGUGAUUACUCAACCCAAUUUGGAAGGUUCCUAAAAUUCACUCCCAGACCCACGUCCCCGGGUUCCGUAAAUCUUUUAAAUAAAUGUUACCCAUAACCUCACGAACACAAAUAUAUAAUUUUUAUCCAAUUCCAUAAUCAUUUUCGUGGUCUAAUCUCAGUUUUAUCAAAAUCUAGGUUUUUCAACCAAAAUCCUAAUAUUCCCACAAAUUACAUGUUAAAAUCAACCCAUAAUCUAUGUAUUUAACUUACAUUGUAUACAAAUCACUUACCUUCAAUAUCUAGGUGAAAACCCCUCUCCGAGAAACUCUAAAAUCAUCCCACAAUUGAGAGAAAUGAACAAAAUAGCCAAAAACCCGACUUUAAUAAAGUCUCUGCCCAGCUGCCCCUUUUUCGCGAUCGUGAAAAGGGCCUCACGAUCACGAAGGAAAGGCCUGCCCAGGCCCUGAAGCUCCUCUUCAUGAAUGCAACAGGGUCCUCGUGAUCGCAAAGGCUAGGCCAUCCCAAGCAUCGCGAACGCGAAGAGCAAUGACCCACAGACCUCCUGGCCCCAAAUCCUUCUACGUAAACGCGACCAGGCCAUUGCGAACGCGAAGGCCACAAGUCCUGAAGCUUCGCGAAUGCGGCAUCAUGUUCGCGAACGCAUUGAGAAAAAACACCUAAUCCCCAAUUCCUUCUUCGCGAGCGUGAGGGUCCUUUCGCAUUCGUGAAGAAGGAAACCAGAACCAGCACACCAGCAGUUUUGGACAUAGCGUCGGGCGGUCCGAAAUGCACCCGAGCUUCCCGGGGUCCCGUCCAAAUGCACCAAUAAGUCAAUAACCAUAAUACAGACCUGCUCGAACCCUCGAAACACAUAAAAUAACAUCAAAACUAUGAAUCACGUCUCAAAACCAAAUUAAAUCGACUUAUGAACUUCAACUUAUUAACUAACUCUAAACGCGCCGAAUCAUACUUAGACUAUUCGGAAUGAUACCAAAUUUUGUGUACAAGUCAUAAAUCAUCAUACGAAACUAUUUCCAGGCUCAGAAUCCCAAACAUAACUCGAUAACACCAAAUUCUACUCUAAACCAAAUUUAAUGAACUAGAAAACCUUCAAUGAACUAACUUUCAACAUUAAGCGCCGAAAUGUUCUAAGAUCACCUGAAACCCGAUCCGAGCACACGCUCAAGUCCAAAAUCAUAAUACGAAACUAUUGGAACCAUCAAAUCCCAUUUUCGAGGUCGUUUACUCAAAAUAUUUACUCAAGUCAAACUUGGCCAUCAUAGGCCACUAUUAAGGAACCACAACCCUUCCAAACCUAAACCAACCAUCCCCGGAAGUCAUAAAACAGUAAAAGCACAUACGGGAAGUCUUAAUUAGGGGAAUGGGGAUCUGUAAACCAAAAUGACCGAUCGGGUCGUUAUAUUCUCUACCUCUUAAACAAACGUUCUUCCUCGAACGGGUCUAGAAUCAUACCUGGAGUGCUGAAUAAAUGUGGAUAGCUGCUCCAUAUGUCCUCCUCGGUCUCCCAAGUCACUUCCUUGACUGUUUGACCCCUCCACUGGACCUUUACCGCAGAAAUCGUCUUGGACCUAAACUGGCGAACCUGCCUGUCAACAAUAGCAAUUGGCUCCUCCUCGUAACCCAAGCUCUCAUCUAGCUGAAUCGUGUUGUAAUUUAACACGUGCAACCUAUCGCCAUAGUACCUAUGGAGCAUAGACACAUGGAAGACCGGAUGAACUCCCGAUAGACUGGGAGAAAAAGCAAGCUCAUACGCAACCUCCCCAACACAUCUUAACACCUCAAAUGGGCCAAUAAAUCUCGGGCUCACCAUGCCCUUCUUCCUGAGCCUCAUGAUACCCUUCAUCGGCGAGACUUUCAAGAGAACCUUCUCGCCCACCAUAAAUGAUAAAUCACGUGCCUUCUAAUUUGCGUAACUCUUAUGUCUGAACAGUGUUGUCCGAAGCCGCUCCUGAAUCAACUUUACCUUCUCCAAGUCAUCCUUCACUAAAUCGAUGCCAUUAACCUAGCCUCAUCGGGCUCAAACCAUCUGAUGGGUGAACGACAUCGCCGACCAUAAAAAGCCUCAAAUAGAGCCAUCUCGAUGUUGGACUGAUAAUUGUUGUUAUAAGAAAACUCGUCCAAAGGCAACGAUCCCACUGCCCUCCGAAAUUAAUCAUACACGCUCUGAGCAUAUCCUCCAAAAUUUAAACUGUCCACUCCGACUGCCAGUCGGUCUGCGGAUGAAAGGUUGUGGUGAGCUCUACCGAAUGCCCAGCUCACUUUGUACUGCUCUCCAAAAAUGUGAAGUGAACUGAGGGCCUCUAUCUGAAAUGAUGGAAACAAGCAUACCAUGCAACCGGACAAUCUCCUAAAUGUAAAUUUGGGCCAACCUCUCUGAAAAGUACGUAGUCAUAACCGCAAUAAAGUGUGCCGACUUGGUCAGCCUGUCGAAAAUGACCCAAACGGCAUCAAACUUCCUCAACAUCCACGGCAACCCAACUACAAAGUUCAUAGUGAUCUGCUCAUAUUUCCACUCCGGUAUAACUAUAUGUUGGAGUAGGCCACCUAGCUUAUGGUGCUCAUACCUAACUUGCUGGAAAUUUAUUUAGACACCUAGCUAUAUACUCAACUAUGUCCUUCAUCCGCCACCACCAAUAAUGCUGCCUCAGGUCGCGAUACAUCUUUGUAGCACCAGGAUGAAUAGAAUAUCGAGAAAUAUGGAUCUUCUCCCUCAGGCCAUCAACAUUAGGAACACAUAAGCGACCUUGGAGUCAUAGAACACCAUCUUCACCGAUAGUAACCUCCUUGGCACCAUCGCGUAAUACCGUCUCUCUACGAACCAAAAGGUGCGGAUCAUCAUACUGACGAGCCUUGAUUCGCUCAAAUAAUGAAGACUGGGUCACAACACAUGCAAGAACUCGACUGGGCUCUAAGAUAUCCAACCUAACAAGUCUGUUAGCUAAGGACCAGAUGUCCAAAUCCAAUGGCCUCUCCUCUACUAAAAUGAAUGCCAAACUACCCAUACUCUCGGUCUUUCUGCUCAAGGCAUCUGCAACCACAUUUGCCUUUCCUGGAUGAUAAAGGCUGGUGAUAUCAUGGUCCUUCAGUAAUUCAAGCCAUCUGUGCUGCCUCAAAUUAAGAUUCCUCUACUUAAACAAAUGCUACAAGCUACGAUGAUCGGUGUAGACUUCACAGGACACCCCAUAAAGCUAAUGCCUCCAGAUCUUGAAAGCAUGAACUAUCACGGUCAAUGCCAAACCAUGUACGGGGUAAUUCUUCUCGUGGGGCUUCAGCUGACGUGAAGCAUAUGCAAUAACUAGACCCUCAUACAUCACUACACAACCCAGGAUAAUGCAUGAAGCAUCAAAAUACAUAAUAUACAUCCAUGAACCAGAAGGCAACACUAAAACUGGUGAUGUAGUCAGAGCCGUCUUGAGCUUCUGAAAGCUCACCUCGCAAUCAUCGGACCAUCGGAACGGAGCACCCUUCUGGGUCAAUCUAGUCAAAGGUGCUGCAAUAGAUGAGAAGCCCUCCACAAACCGACGAUAAUAACCUGCUAACCACAAGAAACUCCUGAUCUUGAUCGUUAUGGUAGGACGAGGCCAACUCUGAAUGCCUCGAUAUUCCUGGGAUCCACCUUAAUACCCUUACCCGAUACAACAUGCCCCAAGAAUGCCACAAAAUCUAGCCAGAACUCACACUUGGAGAACUUAGCAUAUAGCUUUUGUUCCCGCAACAAAUCUCAAAUGUUGCUCGUGCUUCUCCAUACUACGCAAGUAGAUUAAUAUGUCAUCAAUGAAGACAAUGACGAAUGAAUCGAGAUAUGGCCUGAAUACCUAGUUCAUCAAAUCCAUAAACACCGUCAGGGCGUUGGUCAAGCCGAAAGACAUCACUAGAAACUCAUAGUGGCCAUACCUAGUUCGAAAAGUCGUCUUCGAAACAUCCGAAGCACGAAUCUUUAGCUGAUGAUACCCAGAUCUCAAAUCGAUCUUAGAGAACACCUUGGCACCAUGCAACUGGUCAAACAAAUCAUCAAUACGUGGCAACGGGUACUUGUUCUUAAUGGUAACUUUGUUCAACUAGCGGUAAUCAAUGCACAUCCGCAUACUCCCAUCCUUUUUUUUCACAAAUAACACUGGUGCAACCCAAGGCGACACACUUAGCCUGCCGAACCUCUUUUCUAGCAACUCCUUAAGCUGCUUCUUCAACUCUUUCGGAGCCAUGUGGUAUGGUGGAAUAGAGAUAGGUUGGGUUCCUGGUGCCAAAUCAAUACUGAAAUCGAUAUCACGAUCUGGUGGCAUGCCUGGUAAAUCAGAAGGAAACACAUCGGAGAACUCCCGUACCACGGGCAAUGAAUCAAUCGAGGGAUUCUCUGCAGAAGUAUCCCCAACAUAAGCUACAUAAGCCAAACAACCCUUCUCGUCCAUGUGUCAAGCCUUCAGGAGAGAGAUAACCCGACUAGAUGCACUGAUAGAUCAACCCCUCCACUCCAAUCUAGGCAACUCUGGGGUCGCCAAGGUAACAGUCUUGGCAUGAAAAUCAAGAAUGGCAUGAUAUGGAGACAAUCGGUGCAUGCCCAGGAUGACCUCAAAGUAGGUCAUAUCGAGCAACAGAAGAUUCGCUCUGGUCUCAUAACGACAGAAAGUCACAAUACAGGACUGGUAUACCCGAUCCAUAAUAACAGAAUUGCCCACGGGCAUAGACACAUAAACAUGAGCACCCAAGGACUCACGAGUAACAUCCAGAUAAUGAGACAAUAGAGAAGAAACAUAUGAUAUGUAGACCCUGGAUCGAAUAAUACUGAAGCAUCCCUACCGCAGGCAGAAAUAAUACAUGUGAUCACGGUAUCUAAGGCUACUGCAUCUAAUCUGGCUGGAAAAGCAUAGAACCUAGCUAGAGCGCCACCUGUCUGCCCUCUAUCUCUAGGGCGACCCCUACCCACAUUUCCUCUGCCUCUGGCAGGCCGAACGGCCGGUGUGGCAGUUGGUGCAAUAAUCAUGGGUUGAUGGCCCAGCUGUACUGCUUUGCCGCGAAACCUGGGCAAGAUCUCCUCAUAUGACCGAGCUCCCCGCACUCAUAGCAACUUCUCGAUGCAGAAGAUGACUGGCCCAGAGUCUGACCCUAGGGACCUGAAUACCUGCUGGAAGGGCCCUGAAUAGUCGGUAGACGGUAGGAGCUCUCUAGAAUGGCACUGAAAUAGGGCUGCACUGGUGCACCUCGAGAAGGUGGUGGUGCUGAAUAAGUGGGUAUGAUGGACUGACCCCUCACAAACUGACCUCUGCCCCCAGACGGGGCACCACUGAAUCCUCCAGAAUGUCGAGGCCUCUUCUCCCACGUCGUAUAUAAUCGGCCCUAGGUACGAAUACCCUUCAUCCGCCGAGCUAUCCCCACAACUUGCUCGUAAGGAGUCCCCAUCUCCACCUUUCGGGCCAUAGUAACCUGAAUACCAUAAUGCAAGCCCACAAUAAAUAUCCACACUCUCUCUACAUCGGUGCGGAGUAUCAUAAGUGCAUGGCGGGAUAACUCAGAGAAUCUCGCCUCAUAAUCGGUCACAUACGUCUGACCAUGUUGGAGCCGCUCGAACUGGCCCUGUAGAUCUUCCCUAUGAGAGGGUGGAAUAUAUCUCUCAAGAAAGAGACAUGUGAAUUGAUCCCAAGUCAAUGGAGGCGAACCCCACUGGUCUGCUAAGAAGAUAGGACUGCCUCCAUCUACAGUCCCUGCCCUCCAGCUGAAAUAUGGUGAAGUCCACCCUGUUGGGGGUCCUCAUGUCACUCACCGCCAAAGGCAAAAGGAUGCAGUCUGUUCCAUUUAUCCAAUAACUUAUGCGGCUCGAUGAUUGCAUCUGGUCUGGGCUCUAGUACAGCCGUUGCAACUGGCUGGGCUCCACCCAUAAGUAAUGCACCUGGUGUCUUAUAUACGGCAACAGCGUUCCCUGGAGCCUGAGCGGUAGGGUAUGUUCUCCCCAUCCCGCCUGAGAUGUGGCUAGAUCUGCUGGAAAUAAACCGGCCUGCGUCAUAGAAGCCAUAAACCAAAGCAUACGGCCCAUGACCUCCUGAAAUCCCGGCGCGGACAUGAAAUCUGUUUGGGCCUGCUAAGCUGCAGGUACCUCACCCUGUUUCUCAAUGAUAGGAUCCUCCACUGGAUCCGAUGGUGGCACGACGGGAGCAACUCUAGGAUGCCCUCGUCCUCUAGCAGGAGCUGGAGCUCUUCCCCGACCUCUGCCUCGGCCUCUAGCAAUAGGGGGAGCAGCUCUACACGAAGAUUAAAAGAAUGAUACUUAGCAUAACAUCAACUGCACGAUAGGAGAUGAAGAAAGAGAAGUUUGCUAACACCCUAUAGCCUCUCGAAGAUUAGUAUAGAUGUCUCUGCACCUAUCCGCAAGACUCUAUUAGGACCGCUCAUGACUUGUGAAACAUAUAUGAACCUAGAGAUCUGAUACCAAGUUGUCACGACCAAUUUUCACUAUAGGUUGUGAUGGCGCCCAACGUCACCGCUAGGCAAGCCAAUAGUGAACUACCUAUUUAAUUUCUCAUUCUUAUAUUUUUAAAGUCUUUGACUUUUAUUUAAUGCGGAAACAAAUGGUAAAUGAGCGUGGUAAAGUAAAACAUAAGCUAAAUGGGGAAGUAAGGUAGUGAAUUAAAUAAUCAUAACCCCUGAGUGUCUACUAGAAUUCCCAAAAUCUGAUGUCACAAGUGCACGAGCAUCUAGUAGAAUAUACAAAACUCCCUAAGAACUACUGUCUGAAACAAAUUAGACAAGAAUGAUAAAAAAACAUAACAAGAGACGGCUACGGGUGCUGCAGAACGGAGCAUGGGAAAGCAGCUCACCACUAAGCUUCCGGGUAAUGCGGAUACGCGCCCGGACUAACUCCAGAUGCACCUGCCUCAGAACCUGCACACUAUAUGCAAAAGUGUAGCGUGAGUANNNNNNNNNNNNNNNNNNNNAGGAUAUAAUCUCCAUCGACAAUUAAAUAUUUUGGCAACUUUCUAAGUAAUGGGGCUCGAUUUAACUUAAUCUUCAACCAAGUUUUUACCUAUUAAUACGAGAAAUUAAACUAGCAAGUUGAGUCCAAAUAGUACAAGUAAUAGCAUAAUAAAGGCCUAUAACUACUCGGACAUAAUAUGAAUUUUAGCUACGCACGGGCUCUCGUCACUUAGUGUGUAUGUAGCACCCACAAUAUUUAGCAAAUAACAAUUAAAAUACCUAUGGGGUUAAUUCCCUCUUACAAGGUUAGGCAAGAGACUUACCUCGUUCCCAAGUCCACUUUUUGAUCCACAAAUCGCUCUAAAAGAAUCAAGUCGGUGCCAAACAAUCCGAAACUAUCCAAAGGUUGUACAAACUAAUCAAUAAUUGCUCAAAAGUUUAUAAUUUAACUAUUAGAGUGAUUACCCAACCCAAUUUGGAAAGUUCCUAAAAUUCACCGCUGGGCCUACAUGCCUGGAUUCCGAAAAUGUUUGUAAAUAAAUGUUACCCAUAUGCUCAUGAACACAAAUAUAUAAUUUUUACCCAAUUUCAUAAUCAUUUUUGUGGUCUAAUCUCAUUUUUUAUCAAAUCUAGGGUUUUCAACCAAAAUCCUAAUAUUCCCACAAUUUACAUGUUAAAAUCUGCCCAUAAUCUAUGUAUCUAACUUACAUUGUAUUGAAAUUACUUACCUUCAAUAGCUAGGUGAAAACCCCUCUCCGAGAAACUCUAAAAACGUCCCACAAUUGAGAGAAAUGAACAAAAUAGCCAAAAUCCCAACUUUAAUAAAGUCUCUGCCCAGCUGCCCCUUCUUCGCGAUCGCGAAAAGUGCUUCGCGAUCGUGAAGGAAAAGCCUGCCUAGGCCCUGAAGCUCUUCUUCACGAACGCGACAGGGUCCUCGCGAUCGCGAAGGCUAGGCCAGCCCAAGCAUUGCGAACGCGAAGAGCAAUGACCCACAGACCUCCUGGCCCCAAAUCCUUUUACGCGAACGCGACCAAGCCAUCGUGAACGCGAAUGACACAGGUCUUGAAGCUUCGCGAACGCGACCCCAUCUUCGCGAAUGCGAAGAGCAAAAACACCCAGUCCCCAAAUCCUUCAUCAUGAACGCGAGGGUCCUUUCUCAUUCGCGAAUAAAGAAACCAGAACCAGCACACCAAUAGUUUUGGACUUAGAUCCGGGCGGUCUGAAACGCACCCGAGCCCCCCGGGACCCUGUCAAAAUACACCGACAAGUCCAUAACCAUAAUACGGACCUACCCGAACCCUAAAAACACAUAAAAACAUUAAAACUACGAACCGCAACCCAAAAUCAAAUUGAAUCAACUUAUGAACUUCAACUUCUUAAAUAGCUUCAAACGCGCAGAAUUAUACUUCGACUACUCGGAAUGACACCAAAUUUUGCGUACAAUUCAUAAAUCACCAUACGGAACUAUUUCCAGGCUCAAAAUCCCAAACAGACCUCGAUAACACCAAAGUCUACUCUAAACAAAAUUUAAAGAAAUAGAAAACCUUCAAUGAACCGAUGGAACAAUACGAACCUAUUGGAACCAUCAAAUUCCGAUUCCGAGGUCGUUUACUCAAAAUGUUGACUCAAGUCAAACUUGGUCAUCAUAGGCCACUAUUAAGGAACUAAGUGUUCCGAUUUCAACCUGAACCCUUCCAAACCUAAACCAACUAUCCCCGCAAGUCAUAAAAUAUUAAAAUUAUAUACGGGAAGUCGUAAUUAGGGGAACGUGGAUCUAGAAAAUAAAUGAUCAGUCGGGUCGUUACAUUUAUACUCUAAGAUUCACUCACAAAAGCUUACAAUUUUCAGCUUACUAUUAAGUGUUCAGCUACUAUCUUUUACUCUCAAAGUUUUAUGUUUUUCUUAGAGUGAAUGAUAUGUCUAAGUGUGUGUGUGUAUAGUGAGGAAAGAACCAUCCCUUAAGUAGGCAAAGAAGGGCACUUUUUGGACAGAUUUUGGUCCACAAAAAAUCUGUCCAAAAAGGACUAAUUGUGUGCAAACACUGUUCAAAGGGCUGUCCAAAAGGUGAAAGGACAGUUUGAAAAUCUGUUGUAGUAGAGGCAAGGAGGAAAAAGUCAUUUCAGCCACCCUACUAGCAAAAACGAAGGCUACUAGUACCUUAUAUCAUGAUUGAUUUAAUCUAAACUUCAUCUUUAAACCAACACCAAUCUACUUGCUCAAAACAAAUAAAAAAUAGAAAUAUGACCUAACUAGACUUAACAAUUUGAACUAUUAAUCAACAAGAGAAGUCGGAACUUAACAAAAUUAAAGCCAAGCUAAAUGCUUAUUAAAUAGUGAAGCAAUUAGAAAAUUAACUAAUCAAAGAAGAAAUCAGAAAUACUAAACAUGAAUUAGUCGGAACUUAAAACCAAACAAACUACAAUCAAACUCAAAGGGAAAAACAUAAACAAAAUUGCUAGAAGCCUUCAAUCUGAUUUAGACAACUAAUUAUACUAUUCGAAAAUGACUUAAACAAACAAACAACUAAACCGACAAAUAGUUAUGCCGACAUGCUGAAGCCUGAAAGUUUAGUUAAUAAGUACGACUAAUUAACCAUGAUUUAAAAAUGAUAAUUAGAAGCUAAAAAGUUAUAAACUUGAAACUAAAACUAAUUUCAGAGCUAAGCCAAAUGCAUGUUAACAGUGGGGUAAAACUAAUGAAACCGAUUAAGUUAAGCAAAGACAAAAAUCAAAAAAUAGAUUAAAUACGACCUAGACAAUUAUUAACAGAAUUUAAACUUAGAAUACAACGAGAAAGAGAUUAGGAUUUAUACCAACAAGGGAACAAUGUUAACUCGAACAACAAGAACGGGUCGUGGAUGCCGAGAAAAGGCAGUACGAGCAAGCUUCGAUUGUUGAUACUCAUAGAAACCACGGAAUCCGAUGAAUCAAAGUUUAGCUUUCAUGGCAUCAACAAUACAACCUUGUUCGGAGCCGGUGCGGAGGUGAAAGUAUGAGACAGUGGCGAUUUCGGGUUGGAGAUAAGAAAAUAAGAGGAAGAGAGAAGGAGAAGAGUAUAAACUUUAGAGAGUUGAGGCCACUGAUCGGCGGUGGAGCAGCGGCGGCAGUUAGGUGGUCGGCGGUGGUGGACGGCUUUUGGGGGAUGAAAUGGGUAGAAAAGGAUAGAUCUCGAGGAGAUCUAUCCGUGUAUGUAUGUAUUACGUGGUGUGGAAGGUUAGAACUCGCCGUAUUUUAGGGUGGCGGCGGCUAGGGUUUUUCGAAUUUAGAUAGAUUUGGUGAGAUUGGGGGUGAUUUCGGGGAUUUGGGGUUGGGAUAAGGGUAGAGGAUAAGGAGAGGAGAAGAUUGGUGUAAUUGGGGGGUGUUUGGAGGUUAGCCGCCGCCGGUGGGCAAUUUACGGCAGUGGAACAGGGCGGAGGGACGAGAGACAGUGAAGAGAGAAGGAGAAGAGAAGAGACUAGGGCAAAAAUAUGGUAAUUGGGGUUUUAAAUAUUAGAAGGGAGAUUGAAUGGUGGCCUUUGGAUCAUGAGAAAAUUGAUAAGUGAGAUUGAAUCUUGAGGCUACUAAGCGAAACGACGUAGUUUAAUGUCCUAACUAUGUCGUUUAGUUCUGCUCUCAGAUCACUUGGCUGGAGGGGUACUAGGCUCGAUUUUGUAGGCUUUUGGCCCAAUUCGGCUAAACAAAGCAUCAACCCAAUCCCUUAAACCCCUAACAAAACUAUUUAAUAAUCUAAUUCUAAAGUCUAUAAACACACACAAUAAACCUAGAAAAAAAUAUAAUAUAGGAGAAGUAGAAAGAGCAGAAAUUAGAUAUUUACGCAAAGUAGCACAUCUUUUUUGCUUUCUUGAUUAAAUUUAUGUACCACAAUUAGGAUCUUGGGAUAUUUUCAGUACCGACAGUAGUUCCCCCCCCCCCCCCAAGGCAAUUGGAGUAACUCCUGCAUCCAUUGAUUUUGCACCUUCUAACAUCUCGAUAACGUAACAUACUUUUUUUGCUUCUUUUUUUUUAAGUACGACAAUUGGGAUCUCGUUCAUUGAAAGAAAAAAAAACGAACGAGAAAAAAAAUUAGAGUCUUAUUGAAGAAUUGAAGCUUAUUUGCUUUGUUAAAAGAAGAUGUCAAUAAACUCCGGUGAAUGGUUUCAUGGGAUUCAGCCUCCUUUUCCAAAAGCUAUAAGUUUAUUACCCCCACUAAGUUAUAGGAACUUCUAAUUAUAUAGCAGUAGAAGGUCUGUAUAUUUAUCCAAUUCAUCCCAUUUUUUCUCCUUAAUAGUAGAGUACACUAUAAAGAGAGUGAAGGGUGUUUGAACAAAAUCUUCGCCUAUUUCAGGACAAUGAAAGCUAGCAAUCAGUGAAUCAAGGCUAGUUCCCAAUAGCAAGUUGUGGAGUAUUACUAAAAUAAUGGUGAAUGACGAGCUUGUCUACCUAAUGUUUUUUGGGGAUUAGAAAUUUUGGGGUAUGGAUGCAUUUGGAACUUCUUGAAAACCUGUAUAAAAGACAAGAAAGUGACCACAAGACUAGAGAACAAAUUGUUCAAUUUCCAUCUUUUAAUUUAUUAAACCAGACACCACAUAACAUAUUCACAUUUAGAGUGUACAACACAUUGUUCUCCCAUUAACAAAUCUAAACCUCAAAACAGAUGCAAAACAAGAAAAGAAACACAGAAAAGCAUAAAUGUAAACUGACAGCCCAUGUACCAACUUUCUGCCCUUGUCAAUCUGCACACUGGAGCAGGAGGCAACAACAAAAAUGAAGAGAAAAUGAUGAUGGAAUCUCA
This 22951-nucleotide long non-coding RNA is filed under the name Nicotiana tabacum (common tobacco). RNAcentral describes it as "long non-coding RNA (NTAB_LNC012820)". The record is from RNAcentral. Lineage: Eukaryota; Viridiplantae; Streptophyta; Magnoliopsida; Solanales; Solanaceae.